GGCCCGGAGGCCCAGGAGCUGGUGGAGCUGUAACAUGUAAGUCACCCGGCUCAUCACGUGAAGGAAAGCUGCCCUCCAACCAGGAACACCUGCCUUGGAAUAUUAUGUCAGAGCCCCUGGGCUGGGAGCUGCAGCCCCUCCUACACAGCAACUCAGCAAGCACCACCUCAACCCCUGCUCCCUUCAUCUUCUCUGAGUCCAUAGUGGCUGAAGACAUGAGGCCGGGGAUGGGUCCUGGUCCACUUCCUCUGCUUGCUGGAGGAAUAAUCAGGUGAUGGGACAUGAAGGAGCUUAAAAGAGGGUGAAGACAUGAUUCUAGGCCUGGAGUAGAAAGAGACUGUGGUCUUAACCAAUUGAUGGAAACCCAAGAUGACAAUGAAAAUAUACGCCGUCAUUUAUUAAGAGCAUGGACUAUGGACCAAGUACUUGGUAAUCUCAUUUAACUUUCACAACACCCUUGGUAGGUCAUUUUCCCCAUUGUACAGAUGAGGAUGAGGUUCAGAGGUUUUGAGUAAGUGGCCCAGAGUCACGCAGCUCUUUUGUGGUAGAGCUGUGAUUUGAACCCAGGCUCAUCUGGAAGGUCUACGCUCAGU
Long non-coding RNA from Aethalodelphis obliquidens (Pacific white-sided dolphin), 593 nucleotides. RefSeq lists it as uncharacterized. NCBI's taxonomy places the organism in Eukaryota, Metazoa, Chordata, Mammalia, Artiodactyla, Delphinidae. The transcript is spliced from 5 exons. The record is from RefSeq and is a predicted model, not a curated record.